CACGGAGUUAGCCGGUGCUUCUUCUGCGAGUAACGUCAAUUGAUGAGCGUAUUAAGCUCACCACCUUCCUCCUCGCUGAAAGUGCUUUACAACCCGAAGGCCUUCUUCACACACGCGGCAUGGCUGCAUCAGGCUUGCGCCCAUUGUGCAAUAUUCCCCACUGCUGCCUCCCGUAGGAGUCUGGACCGUGUCUCGAGUUCCAGUGUGGCUGGUCAUCCUCUCAGACCAGCGUAGGGAUCGUCGCCUAGGUGAGCCAUUACCCCCACUACUAGCUAACUCCCAUCGUGGGCACAUCUGAUCGGGACAAAGGACGGCCCGUAAGGUUCCCCCUCGUUUGGUACUUACGUACGUUAUCGGUCGGUUACUUAGCCUUACCCGUUUCC
This 383-nucleotide ribosomal RNA is filed under the name uncultured Enterobacteriaceae bacterium. RNAcentral's name for it is "partial 16S ribosomal RNA". The record is from RNAcentral. Lineage: Bacteria; Pseudomonadati; Pseudomonadota; Gammaproteobacteria; Enterobacterales; Enterobacteriaceae.